Molecule: long non-coding RNA, 354 nt
Filed under: Linum usitatissimum (flax)
Lineage: Eukaryota; Viridiplantae; Streptophyta; Magnoliopsida; Malpighiales; Linaceae
Description: long non-coding RNA (LUSI_LNC005330)
Source: RNAcentral
AGCUUAUAUUCGAGUAGAGAAAAAAGGGAUUUGAGUCCUUGCUGCCACUAUCGGAAAGGUUGGAAGGCUGGUUACAGUUUCAUACUGAAGAGUACCUUCUUUAUCUAUUAGAUGAAAAGCUACGAAUCAUAAGGACCAAAGGCACCAUAGGAGACAGGAGACCUGCAAACACUUAUUUACUACUACGGGAAGAGAGACUUUAAGACCAACUUCGCUUUCCCCCAGCCAUCUGAGAAUUCAAGCCAAGAACUGUGAACUUAGCCUUGCCUAAUAAUAGAGCUAAAAAGCGGAAAGAGUCUCCUUUUAGCCAUAUAAAAUAUGGACAAUAUUCCCAUAGACAGUAAAUAAGCCUAC